This 72-nucleotide transfer RNA is filed under the name Ophioplocus japonicus. Its description in RNAcentral is "tRNA-Val". Lineage: Eukaryota; Metazoa; Echinodermata; Ophiuroidea; Amphilepidida; Ophiolepididae. The record is from RNAcentral.
UGGGAGGAUAGCUAUGUGAAAAGUACUAUAUUUACGAUAUGGUGAAGCUCGUUUGACUCGGGUUCCUCUUAG